Molecule: ribosomal RNA, 253 nt
Filed under: uncultured bacterium
Lineage: Bacteria
Description: partial 16S ribosomal RNA
Rfam family: Bacterial small subunit ribosomal RNA
Source: RNAcentral
UACGGAGGGGGCUAGCGUUGUUCGGAAUUACUGGGCGUAAAGCGCGCGUAGGCGGAUCUGCAGGUCGGGGGUGAAAUCCCGAGGCUCAACCUCGGAACUGCCUUCGAUACUGCGGGUCUCGAGUCCGGGAGAGGUGAGUGGAAUUCCUAGUGUAGAGGUGAAAUUCGUAGAUAUUAGGAAGAACACCAGUGGCGAAGGCGGCUCACUGGCCCGGUACUGACGCUGAGGCGCGAAAGCGUGGGGAGCAAACAGG